RNAcentral lists this ribosomal RNA (459 nucleotides) under uncultured bacterium. Its description in RNAcentral is "SSU rRNA". It matches the Rfam family "Bacterial small subunit ribosomal RNA", at positions 26 to 518 of the family's 1533-position model. The record is from RNAcentral.
AGAAUCAACGCUGGCGGCGUGCCUAACACAUGCAAGUCGCACGAGAAAGUGGAGCAAUCCACGAGUAAAGUGGCGCACGGGUGAGUAACACGUGAAUAAUCUACCUCCGAGUGGGGAAUAACUGAGAGAAAUCUUAGCUAAUACCGCAUAAUACCCACGGGUCAAAGCAGCAAUGCGCUUGGAGAGGAGUUCGCGGCCGAUUAGCUAGUUGGCGGGGUAAUGGCCCACCAAGGCGAUGAUCGGUAUCCGGCCUGAGAGGACGCACGGACACACUGGAACUGAAACACGGUCCAGACUCCUACGGGAGGCAGCAGUGGGGAAUUUUGCGCAAUGGGGGAAACCCUGAUGCAGCAACGCCGCGUGGAGGAUGAAUCCCUUGGGAUGUAAACUCCUUUCGAUAGGGAAGAUAAUGACGGUACCUAUAGAAGAAGCCCCGGCUAACUUCGCGCCAGCAGCCGC